GAUGAAGAACGCAUCGAAAUGCGAUAAGUAGUGUGAAUUGCAGAAUUCAGUGAAUCAUCGAAUCUUUGAACGCACAUUGCGCCCCUUGGUAUUCCAUGGGGCAUGCCUGUUCGAGCGUCAUUUGUACCUUCAAGCUCUGCUUGGUGUUGGGUGUUUGUCUCGCCUCUGCGUGUAGACUCGCCUCAAAACAAUUGGCAGCCGGCGUAUUGAUUUCGGAGCGCAGUACAUCUCGCGCUUUGCACUCAUAACGACGACGUCCAAAAGUACAUUUUUACACUCUUGACCUCGGAUCAGGUAGGGAUACCCGCUGAACUUAAGCAUAUCAAUAAGCGAGG
Molecule: unclassified non-coding RNA, 335 nt
Filed under: soil metagenome
Description: partial contains 5.8S ribosomal RNA, internal transcribed spacer 2, and large subunit ribosomal RNA
Rfam family: 5.8S ribosomal RNA (bases 1-120)
Source: RNAcentral